Molecule: ribosomal RNA, 334 nt
Filed under: uncultured eukaryote
Lineage: Eukaryota
Description: partial 18S ribosomal RNA
Rfam family: Eukaryotic small subunit ribosomal RNA
Source: RNAcentral
CCCUUAGAUGUCCGGGGCCGCACGCGCGCUACACUGAAGGAAUCAGCGUGGCUUUCUCCCUGACCCGAAAGGGUUGGGAAAUCCGUUGAAUCUCCUUCGUGAUAGGGAUUGGGGCUUGAAAUUGUUCCCCAUGAACGAGGAAUUCCCAGUAAGCGCGAGUCAUAAGCUCGCGUUGAUUACGUCCCUGCCCUUUGUACACACCGCCCGUCGCUACUACCGAUUGAACGGUUUAGUGAGGGCCUCGGAUUGGUCUCGGCCCGCUCUUUACCGGGCGGCGCCGUUGGUCGAGAAGACGCUCGAACUUGAUCGUUUAGAGGAAGUAAAAGUCGUAACA